AGAAAGGCUGCGUGUGCGCCGCUCCGGAGCCGGACUCCUGGAAGAAGAAAGGGAGGCAGAGAGAUCAAGGCUGCAGGUGGGCGCCGGUGGACAAAAGUCGCAGUUCUCCCUCUGCCCCUACCCCAAUUUCUUUUUUCCUUUACUCUCCGAUUCACCGGCUGUGGCCACUCAGCUCCUGGAAUCUCAAGUUUUGUAACUCUCAGGAGCCGUUCCAUAACCAGGCAAAAUAUUGCAGAGCUGCAGGGGCCCUGGGUUGAAAGGCUGUAACAUUAACAGGUUCGUUAUGUGCUAGCCAGGCGCUGUUCCCAGCGCUUUCUGUGGAUUAACUCAUUUACUCCUCCUCCCAGCAAUCCUAGGAGGUAAGAACUAUGAUUAUCCUCAGAUGACAGGCGAGGAGAACUUAGCUGUGAAAGGUAAACGGUUGCCCAAGGUUACAUGGCUGGUACCUGGUAGAGCUGUAUUUGUACCCCGGAGAUCUGACUCCGGCUCCCGGGGGUUUUAUCGGCACCUUAUACCACAGCUUGCCCCUCAGUGUGGGGCUCAGCACGACUCAGUGAGCAUGGGAAUUACCUUUUCUCGGGUCUGGAAGUCCGUGGAGCGCCGCUGCACUCGGGGAGGACAAAUCCUGCCCAGAACUGGAAGUGAAAGCAACCCUGAGAGAGAUUACAAGUUCUACGGUUUUAUCUUAGAAAGUCGAAGCAGUUUGCUCAAGGUCACAAGAGCAUAAAAGAAACAUACCUGAUGAUUAAAUCAAAUCAAGCAGAAGUUUUCUGUAUGUGAUUCAAGAAUGCUGUUCAUCCUUUCAGCACUGCAAGUGCAUUACCUGUUGUGAAAGGAGGAAGUGUGCUCCGUUAAGCUUGAAAGCAAAGUUACCAGAAAAGGAUCAGCAAAUCACAAGGCAGAAUCCUUAGCAGUAAGGCCCCUACUGAACUGUGACUGAGGCACAAGCCAAGGAAUAUGUUUAAUGUGUGCUGCCCCAUUAGCUCCUGGAAUCUUAGUAUACAACCCACACCACUGAAUCAGACCCACAGGAGGGAAACAACAGGAGCAUCAUGGCUCUGCUAUGCAGACAUAGCACUAUUGUUUCCAGAAAUUAGUUUUUAGUUUAUUAAAGUAAUAUUGGAGAAGACUCUUGAGAGUCCUUUGGACUGCAAGGAAAUCCAACCAGUCCAUCCUGAAGGAGAUCAGUCCUGGGUGUUCAUUGGAAGGACUGAUGUUGAGGCUGAAACUCCAAUACUUUGGCCACCUGAUGCGAAGAGCUGAUUCACUGGAAAAGACCCUGAUGCUGGGAAAGAUUGAGGGCAGGAGGAGAAGGGGACCACAGAGGAUGAGAUGGUUGGAUGGCAUCAUCGACUCGAUGGACAUGGGUUUGGGUGGACUCUGGGAGAUGGUGAUGGACAGGGAGGCCUGGCGUGCUGUGGUUCAUGGGGUCGCAAAGAGUCGGACAAGACUGAGCGACUGAACUGUGAACUGAACUGAAUAUAUUGCACACCAAGUUCAAAAGUCAAAUGUUAUUAAAGUGAUUAUAGUAACUAACA
This is a long non-coding RNA of Capra hircus (goat), 1538 nucleotides long. RefSeq lists it as uncharacterized. The record is from RefSeq and is a predicted model, not a curated record. The transcript is spliced from 3 exons. NCBI's taxonomy places the organism in Eukaryota, Metazoa, Chordata, Mammalia, Artiodactyla, Bovidae.